Molecule: ribosomal RNA, 484 nt
Filed under: uncultured bacterium
Lineage: Bacteria
Description: partial 16S ribosomal RNA
Rfam family: Bacterial small subunit ribosomal RNA
Source: RNAcentral
AUUGAACGCUGGCGGCAUGCUUUACACAUGCAAGUCGAACGGCAGCGCGGGCUUCGGCCUGGCGGCGAGUGGCGAACGGGUGAGUAAUGCAUCGGAACGUGCCCAGUAGUGGGGGAUAGCCCGGCGAAAGCCGGAUUAAUACCGCAUACGACCUGAGGGUGAAAGCGGGGGACCGAAAGGCCUCGCGCUAUUGGAGCGGCCGAUGUCGGAUUAGCUAGUUGGUGGGGUAAAGGCUUACCAAGGCGACGAUCCGUAGCUGGUCUGAGAGGACGACCAGCCACACUGGGACUGAGACACGGCCCAGACUCCUACGGGAGGCAGCAGUGGGGAAUUUUGGACAAUGGGGGCAACCCUGAUCCAGCCAUGCCGCGUGCGGGAAGAAGGCCUUCGGGUUGUAAAGCGCUUUUGUUCGGGAAGAAAUCCUGUGGGCUAAUACCCCGGGGGGAUGACGGUACCGGAAGAAUAAGCACCGGCUAACUACGUG